Molecule: small nucleolar RNA, 107 nt
Filed under: Gossypium hirsutum (cotton)
Lineage: Eukaryota; Viridiplantae; Streptophyta; Magnoliopsida; Malvales; Malvaceae
Also listed under: 1 other name
Description: Plant small nucleolar RNA R71
Rfam family: Plant small nucleolar RNA R71
About the family: R71 is a member of the C/D box family of snoRNAs containing the C (UGAUGA) and D (CUGA) box motifs. Multiple nearly identical copies of this snoRNA have been identified in Arabidopsis, and it is thought to function as a 2'-O-ribose methylation guide for 18S ribosomal RNA.
Source: Rfam by way of RNAcentral
AGACCAUAGUGAGGGCAUCUUUGUACCAGCGACAUGAAUCACUCCCAAGCUUCAUGAAAACUUUCUCCUUCUAAUUGCUUAAACGUGGCAAUUUCCAUCCUUAGUUA